Molecule: long non-coding RNA, 938 nt
Organism: Lactuca sativa (garden lettuce)
Lineage: Eukaryota; Viridiplantae; Streptophyta; Magnoliopsida; Asterales; Asteraceae
Source: RefSeq, a predicted model, not a curated record
UCCCUCCAUCCAUAGAACCUCUUGCCGGCGGCCACUUCCACCCUUACAAUUCCCGGCGCUGCGCCACCUUGUGGCUCCCCAAUCGCCUCCUCCUUUCAUUUCGUUUUUCUGAUAAAAGAAUGGACAAGAGUAACCGCAGGACUGCCGCCACCUUUAAACUCCUCUCCAGCCGCAGUCGCUGGCCAUUUUCGGGAAGGAAGAAGAAACGCAUUGGUGUUGGUCGUUGUUGCUGCUCCUGGCGAUGGAUCUCCUCUCCUCUCUGUUCGGUUUUAUUGCUACGUCGUCUGCUGCCAACCGUCGGUGUGUCCGUCAGCCUCCUAGCCGUAAUAGGAGUCAGAAUAAUCCGCCACGGUGUCGGAUGUUGCUGCUGUGAACCGACACUACGCUGCAACCGGGAAGACACAGUCGGAGCUGCUCCGUGUCUCCUUCUUCUUUAGUUCUGCCACCUUGCGAACGUCAAGCCGUUGCCUUAAGCCGCCGCUAUUACCACUCGCGUUGUUGCUGUCGUCGCCAACCGCCACCAGGUGGGUGGGUGGGUGGGUGGGGUGUUUGUUACAAUUUGAAGCAUGUGUUUGUGUUGUGUGUGACUUCGUUUGACCGGAAAAGCCACUGCCACCACCAUGAGGUGGUGGCUGCCGCCAUGUACCACCAUGGGUGGGUAUAUUUUCGUGUAUCGGGAAUCUGUCAUCCAGCAGCUGGGGUCGAGUCUGCGGGACUUCAGCAAUGAGGGGUUGAGUCUACGGGACUUCAGCAGUGCGAGGUGCUUUGUUUGCAAAGGAAAGGAGCCGGCUUGAUCGCAGCGCAUCACGCUAUGUUUUCUGCAAACGAGAUCCUUGGGAUUUUACUUUGAUAUGGUUUCAUAAUAUUAUAUUUUGAUUAUUCAUACUUUGGUUUUAUGUAAUAACCUAAUUAAAAAUGAAAUUUUUGGCCUUGAAUUU